This 249-nucleotide small RNA is filed under the name Mandrillus leucophaeus (drill). Its description in RNAcentral is "Metazoan signal recognition particle RNA (ENSMLEG00000005737.1)". Lineage: Eukaryota; Metazoa; Chordata; Mammalia; Primates; Cercopithecidae. The record is from RNAcentral.
GCCGGGUAUGGUGGCAUAUGCCUGUAAUCCCAGCUACUCUGGAGGCUGAGGCAGGAGACUCGCUUGAAGCUAGGAGGCAGAGGUUGCAGUGAGCCGAGAUCGUGUCACUGCACUCCAGCCUGGGCGACAGACUCCAUCCCCAAAAGAAGAAGACAGAGUCUCACCCUGUUGCCUAGGCUGGAGUGCAGUGGCAUGAUCUCUGCUCACUGCAACCUCUACCUCCCGGGUUCAAGCGAUUCUCAUGCCUCA